GAUCUCGUAGCUCAGUUGGUAGAGCAUUUGACUUUUAAUCAAAGGGCCGCAGGUUCGAGUCCUGCCGGGAUCACAA
This 76-nucleotide transfer RNA is filed under the name Ignavibacteria bacterium GWA2_35_8. Its description in RNAcentral is "tRNA-Lys". It matches the Rfam family "tRNA". Rfam says of the family: Transfer RNA (tRNA) molecules are approximately 80 nucleotides in length. Their secondary structure includes four short double-helical elements and three loops (D, anti-codon, and T loops). The record is from RNAcentral. Lineage: Bacteria; Pseudomonadati; Ignavibacteriota; Ignavibacteria. RNAcentral also lists the same sequence under 3 other names.